CCCCCCCUCCUGCCGCCGCCUCUCCCCCUGCCCCUAUUAUUCUUCAGCUCUUAUCCUCUUCCACUUCUGAGGGUCUCUCUCUCCUCGGUUCGUUCUUCGUCCACAACAGCAAAGAGGAGCGCUUGCUGGUUUCAUCAAUAAUUAGAGACUGCUAAAAAGAAGACGGCUGCUAGAAUGGGAAGCUGGCAUCCUUGUAUAAUGAAAUAGUCGUAUAAUGCGUAUGGUCUUGUGGCUGAGGUGUUGAAGAAGCUAAUGGCUAUUUCUCCAGCUCAACGCACAACCUAACGAUGUCUGCAAUGAGUGAAUUGCAUUUAUAUGAGGAUGCUGAGAAGGCUCUUCUCACUACAUCUUCUACCAAUGAAACAUCAAUUUUGCGAGUUCCGCAGGCAUUGAGUUCUCUUGUUGCUGUAUUAUAUUCGAAGAAGGAUCCUUGAUUAGGACUAUGCUGAUGCUCUUCCGCGGGUAUCAGAACUAAAUGCUGCAUUCCUUGUGGAUGGAAUUGAGCAAUUUCAUCAGCAAAAUUGAAAGCUCUUCGGAGCCAAGAUCAGCUUUGGUCACGAUGGUUGGAACUUCUUUCAAUUUGUUCUUUUAGCUCUGUAUUCUUUUUUUCUUUCAGCUCUGUAUUCUUUUUUCUUUCAAUUUGUUGGAAAGAACAGGCAUUCUCAUUUUUGUUCUUCACUUUGGGUCAUUUCUUGUCUGAUUUUUUUUAUUUUACAUGUUCUGUAUUUCAUAGACUAUGGUCUUUGUUUCGACCGUUACUUGUUAAAAUCAAGGAUCUGAAUAGUUUUGACUGUUUAA
Molecule: long non-coding RNA, 798 nt
Organism: Asparagus officinalis (garden asparagus)
Lineage: Eukaryota; Viridiplantae; Streptophyta; Magnoliopsida; Asparagales; Asparagaceae
Exons: 3
Source: RefSeq, a predicted model, not a curated record